This 65-nucleotide non-coding RNA is filed under the name Calcidiscus leptoporus. The record is from RNAcentral. Lineage: Eukaryota; Haptophyta; Coccolithales; Calcidiscaceae.
UCAACAAGGGCGACGAAUCGCGGCUGAGGGAGGCAAAGCAGCAUUGCGAGCUUGCCGCACUUUAC